UGAGGAAUAUUGGUCAAUGGGCGGGAGCCUGAACCAGCCAAGCCGCGUGAGGGAAGAAGGCCCUAUGGGUCGUAAACCUCUUUUGUCAGGGAACAAAAGCGAGUAUGUAUACUAGUCUGAGUGUACCUGAAGAAAAAGCAUCGGCUAACUCCGUGCCAGCAGCCGCGGUAAUACGGAGGAUGCGAGCGUUAUCCGGAUUUAUUGGGUUUAAAGGGUGCGUAGGCGGCGAUGCAAGUCAGCGGUAAAAGCCCGGGGCCAACCCAGCCGCAGCGUCGUAAACUGCAGUGCUAGAGAAGGCGAGAGGUACGCGGAAUGCGCAGUGUAGCGGUGAAAUGCUUAGAUAUUGCGCAGAACUCCGAUUGCGAAGGCAGCGUACUGGCGCCUGACUGACGCUGAGGCACGAAAGCGUGGGGGAUCGAACAGGAUUAGAUACC
RNAcentral lists this ribosomal RNA (434 nucleotides) under uncultured bacterium. RNAcentral's name for it is "bacterial SSU rRNA". It matches the Rfam family "Bacterial small subunit ribosomal RNA", at positions 355 to 786 of the family's 1533-position model. The record is from RNAcentral.